RNAcentral lists this long non-coding RNA (1302 nucleotides) under Lupinus angustifolius (narrow-leaved blue lupine). RNAcentral's name for it is "long non-coding RNA (LANG_LNC002209)". The record is from RNAcentral. Lineage: Eukaryota; Viridiplantae; Streptophyta; Magnoliopsida; Fabales; Fabaceae.
UCAACUUUUCUUUCUCCCCCCUAAUAUUCCGCCAACGCAUUUCCGGCAAACUUCUCUCCCUUUCUUUCCGUGGCACUUAAGAAUUGGCACAGGUAGCCAUAGUGGGAUUUCGAGAACUGACACUGGUAGUCAGUAUUGUGGGUAAAGAAUUGGCACAAGUAGCCAUAUUGUGGGAUUUCGAGAACUGACACUGGUAGUCAGUAUUGUGGGUAAAGAAUUGGCACAAGUAGCCAUAUUGUGGGAUUUCGAGAACUGACACUGGUAGUCAGUAUUGUGGGUAAAGAAUUGGCACAAGUAGCCAUAUUGUGGGAUUUCGAGAACUGACACUGGUAGUCAGUAUUGUGGGAAGAGAAUUGGCACGGGUAGCCAUAUUGUGGGUAAUUUCGAGAAUUGGCACUCGUAGCCAUAUUGUGGUGGGUGUACUCGAGAUCGGUUCUUAUAGUGCAGUAAGAAUUCGAUAACAGAGAUUUGGGCUGUUUUAUCCUGGAGACGGCGUGGUUGAUAGUCUGCUUGCACAUUUUGGGCAGUGUCGCGAAACGUCUUAAAGAGAGCGACCUGGUCGUGACUCAGCUAGUAAGUAUUAUUUCGUGCCAUUUAGAAUUGCUGCAAGUUACAGUAACAACAAUCUAUGAAUUAAUCUAGAAGAAACAUCAUUUAUAACCCCAAACCAAAAAUAAUAAGACGUUCUAUUUCUUCCAUCAUGUCCACUAUUGGUGCAUCUAGUGUUGUUGCUCUUAACAUGAACAUACCAUUUCGUUUUAUUGUAAAUCAUUUCAAAGGAUGAAAAUUGAAAAUGAUUUAUUAUAAAUAAAAAUAUGAAAUAAAAGUCGAAAAUAUUUUUGAAAAUCAAACAUUCCAAAAUGUUGUUGAUCAUCUUAUUUUGCCCUCGGUAGAGUGUUUAUACAGAAAAGGAAAAGAAGAUAAAUAGUCGGUGAUGUUUGAUAGAUGUCAUAAAUUUUAGCAUUUGUAUUUCUAGAAUGUUAUGAAUGAAGUAUAAUGAAUGCUCAAGUUUUAUUUUUAUGGUUAUCAUAGUUGACUGAUAUUGUUCCAUCCCGAUCCAAAAAGUCACGUCAUGGCCGGACUAAAACGUUAGGCUUCGGCUAGGUACCAGACAAGAUGAGUUCUCUCCAAGCAGCUUUUAGUCUAUGUCUAUCAACCGGACAAUUCAGAUAAUGUAUGUCGCUGACCAGACAAGAUUCAAAUAAAAUUACAUGGGACAAUUACCUUUGUCAUUCGUCGAUCAUUUCGCUUAUACAAAAUUGUCAUGCCACCUAAACAAUACAGACCUCUGCCACAUGCCAC